This 226-nucleotide long non-coding RNA is filed under the name Lathyrus oleraceus (garden pea). RNAcentral describes it as "Pisum sativum (pea) long non-coding RNA (PSAT_LNC017205)". The record is from RNAcentral. Lineage: Eukaryota; Viridiplantae; Streptophyta; Magnoliopsida; Fabales; Fabaceae.
AGGCUAGACUAUGCACACUAAUCAUCUAGCAUGCAAACAUCAACAACAAACCCACCAUGGUUCACUCACUAAUUCCUCACCAUGGGAAUUAGCUACAGCCCCAAAGGCUAGAAUAAGCAUGCUAAUCACCUAGCAAUGCAACAACAACAGCAACAAUUCAAGAAUAGACAUAAGCUCACACUCUAAGCCAUAAAACAGUCUAUUCACAAAUGCAUACAUAACUGAU